CCCCAGUGAUAAGAGGCACCGCCAGGCAGCAGUCGAAGUCCCUCGUCCUCACGUGGUUCACCUGGACAAAGAUGGAGACAAAAGAUACUCAGGAUCCUGUCGUAGGGUCUGAGCCCGGCUCGGUCAGCUGGUCCAUCGGGUCUGAUCAUGUUGACGUAAACCCCCUUUUCCAAGAAGCCAUCUGACACACUGAAGCCGAAGUCAUCGCUUUCAGGGUCCUUUAUCACUGUUACCUACAGAAGGAAGCACAAGGAUGCCAGGUGUUAUCAACAGCAGAUGAAGUCGGCCAGAACGCUGCACAGUCUGUGUGCUGCUGUCAUCAGACAGCUCAGGUCAGGAAGUGAGAAUGGUAUCAUCCACUCUCCGCUAUGGAAGAUACUAUAGGCCAUACAUGAAAGCUCCAGAGGCGUUGGUGACAAAAUCCCCUGCAUCUCCUCCUUGAUCCGACGAGACUCCCACGUCCGCUCUGAUACCCUCAACGAGGCCUUGGGCUUGGGCUCGUGGAGGAGGAGAGGAUUCUGGUUAUCUUGGUGCAGGAGCUUGGAGAUGCACACAUCUGCCUCUAACCUUGAUGCAGGCAGGCCUCCUCGUGCAGAUGGGCCCCCUGGUGGAGCAGGUUUCCCUGC
Long non-coding RNA from Monopterus albus (swamp eel), 626 nucleotides. RefSeq lists it as uncharacterized. The record is from RefSeq and is a predicted model, not a curated record. Lineage: Eukaryota; Metazoa; Chordata; Actinopteri; Synbranchiformes; Synbranchidae. The transcript has 5 exons.